This 254-nucleotide ribosomal RNA is filed under the name uncultured bacterium. RNAcentral's name for it is "partial 16S ribosomal RNA". It matches the Rfam family "Bacterial small subunit ribosomal RNA", at positions 524 to 776 of the family's 1533-position model. The record is from RNAcentral.
GACGUAGGGCGCGAGCGUUGUUCGGAAUCACUGGGCGUAAAGCGCACGUAGGCGGAUGUGUCAGUCAGGGGUGAAAUCCCGGAGCUCAACUUCGGAACUGCCUUUGAUACAGCACGUCUUGAGUCCGAUAGAGGUGGGUGGAAUUCCUAGUGUAGAGGUGAAAUUCGUAGAUAUUAGGAAGAACACCGGUGGCGAAGGCGGCCCACUGGAUCGGUACUGACGCUGAGGUGCGAAAGCGUGGGGGAGCAAACAGG